GACGAACGCUGGCGGCGUGCCUAAUACAUGCAAGUCGAACGCAGUGGGGACGGGUGAGUAACACGUGGGUAACCUCCCAUCAGAGGGGAUAACACUUGGAAACAGGUGCUAAACCGAUACUGAUGGAUGGACCCGCGGUGCAUUAGCUGGUUGGUGAGGUAACGGCUAACCAAGGCCAAGAUGCAUAGCCGACCUGAGAGGGUGAUCGGCCACACUGGAACUGAGACACGGCCCAGACUCCUACGGGAGGCAGCAGUAGGGAAUCUUCGGCAAUGGACGAAAGUCUGACCGAGCAACGCCGCGUGUAUGAAGAAGGUUUUCGGAUCGUAAAGCUCUGUUAUUAGAGAGGCGGUAUCUAACCAGAAAGCCACGGCUAACUACGUGCCAGCAGCCGCGGUAAUUC
Molecule: ribosomal RNA, 403 nt
Filed under: uncultured bacterium
Lineage: Bacteria
Description: partial 16S ribosomal RNA
Rfam family: Bacterial small subunit ribosomal RNA
Source: RNAcentral